RNAcentral lists this ribosomal RNA (539 nucleotides) under uncultured bacterium. RNAcentral's name for it is "bacterial SSU rRNA". It matches the Rfam family "Bacterial small subunit ribosomal RNA", at positions 337 to 870 of the family's 1533-position model. The record is from RNAcentral.
UCCUACGGGAGGCAGCAGUGGGGAAUUUUGGACAAUGGGCGCAAGCCUGAUCCAGCAAUGCCGCGUGCAGGAUGAAGGCCUUCGGGUUGUAAACUGCUUUUGUACGGAACGAAAAGGUUCUCUCUAAUACAGGGGGCAUAUGACGGUACCGUAAGAAUAAGCACCGGCUAACUACGUGCCAGCAGCCGCGGUAAUACGUAGGGUGCGAGCGUUAAUCGGAAUUACUGGGCGUAAAGCGUGCGCAGGCGGUUUUGUAAGACAGAGGUGAAAUCCCCGGGCUCAACCUGGGAACUGCCUUUGUGACUGCAAGGCUGGAGUGCGGCAGAGGGGGAUGGAAUUCCGCGUGUAGCAGUGAAAUGCGUAGAUAUGCGGAGGAACACCGAUGGCGAAGGCAAUCCCCUGGGCCUGCACUGACGCUCAUGCACGAAAGCGUGGGGAGCAAACAGGAUUAGAUACCCUGGUAGUCCACGCCCUAAACGAUGUCAACUGGUUGUUGGGGGUUAAUUCACUCAGUAACGAAGCUAACGCGUGAAGUGACC